RNAcentral lists this ribosomal RNA (497 nucleotides) under uncultured bacterium. RNAcentral describes it as "partial 16S ribosomal RNA". It matches the Rfam family "Bacterial small subunit ribosomal RNA", at positions 28 to 507 of the family's 1533-position model. The record is from RNAcentral.
GAUGAACGCUGGCGGCGUGCCUAAUACAUGCAAGUCGAGCGAACAGACGAGGAGCUUGCUCCUCUGACGUUAGCGGCGGACGGGUGAGUAACACGUGGAUAACCUACUUAUAAGACUGGGAUAACUUCGGGAAACCGGAGCUAAUACCGGAUAAUAUAUUGAACCGCAUGGUUCAAUAGUGAAAGACGGCUUUGCUGUCACUUAUAGAUGGAUCCGCGCCGCAUUAGCUAGUUGGUAAGGUAAAGGCUUAUCAAGGCAACGAUGCGUAGCCGGGCUGAGAGGGUGAUCGGCCACACUGGAACUGAGACACGGUCCAGACUCCUACGGGAGGCAGCAGUAGGGAAUCUUCCGCAAUGGGCGAAAGCCUGACGGAGCAACGCCGCGUGAGUGAUGAAGGUCUUCGGAUCGUAAAACUCUGUUAUUAGGGAAGAACAAAUGUGUAAGUAACUAUGCACGUCUUGACGGUACCUAAUCAGAAAGCCACGGCUAACUACGUG